This 223-nucleotide ribosomal RNA is filed under the name uncultured eukaryote. Its description in RNAcentral is "partial 18S ribosomal RNA". It matches the Rfam family "Eukaryotic small subunit ribosomal RNA", at positions 995 to 1219 of the family's 1831-position model. The record is from RNAcentral.
GGAUCGAAUAUGAUUAGAUACCAUCGUACUCUUAACCAUAAACUAUGCCGACUAGGGAUUGGUGGACGUAUGUUACGACUCCAUCAGCACCUUAUGAGAAAUCAAAGUCUUUGGGUUCCGGGGGGAGUAUGGUCGCAAGGCUGAAACUUAAAGAAAUUGACGGAAGGGCACCACCAGGAGUGGAGCCUGUGGCUUAAUUUGACUCAACAUGGGAAAACUUACC